Molecule: long non-coding RNA, 1801 nt
Organism: Folsomia candida
Lineage: Eukaryota; Metazoa; Arthropoda; Collembola; Entomobryomorpha; Isotomidae
Exons: 2
Source: RefSeq, a predicted model, not a curated record
UCGACGACAGACAUGAAACCAAUUCUCUCUCCAGCAAAUAAGGAACCAUUUUUGUGGUUCACAACUAUUAGUUAAAUACAUCGAUUCAUGUACUGACGUGUUAUAAUUAAAAAAACCCACGAGUGAAUCGAGUACAUUUUGGAAUUUACUCAAAUGCAGCCGCCAUGAAAUACGAAACCUUUCCGCUACCAAGAUAUCUCAUGAAUAAGAUUGAAUUGAGUCUUGUGUUGUGUAAUUUACAAUUAUCACCAGGUGCGGAGUACUCAACCUUAAUAAUAAAAGCAUAAAACCGUAAUCUUCAUUAGUUACUCAAAAUGAACAGUUAUGAGAAUGCUAAAACAAUUAUGAACUCAUAGUUCACUCGUAAUUCGUACUCUUGGCCAUUUCUUUGGCACCUUCUCCGUUGUUUGUUGCCUGAAUCUAAAUUGGCUAUAUUCUUACAAAUAUUAUGAUGUAAUAGUACCACUGACCCUACCUAAACCGUAAUUAUAGUUAUCUUAACAAAAUACUUGAACAGCUAUCAAGUGCAAAAAUUGAAUAACAAUAUUAUAGGUGCCAGUAGUAAAUACUAAUGUCGUGAAACAGCUAAUAAACAACAAAACCUUCUGCAGGACGUCAUUUAUGUAUAAGCUAAGCGACACAACCAUCAUAUUUUGCCAUUUUUAACCUAUUUUAUCAUAUUUACGUACAGUGGUAUGCAUAUUAACAUGAAAUUAUUUAAAUGGUCCAAUAACAAUGAACACCAGGCAAAACCACAACACAUAUAAUUGCAUUGUGCACCAACAUUAAUGUUCAUUACUUCAUUCAUGAAUACUAAAUGUAAAUAUUCAACAACCUAUUCAAUUAUAAUUGUAUAAAGACACGUGAGAAUUUACAAAAUAUAAUCCUUACCUCAAAUCAAAUCAGCCUGUGGUUUGGCUUCACCUUUGUAUGAGUGAUUUGCCAAAUAUACUUUCACUACACUGAUUUUAGGUAUUAUUGUCCUAAUUUUAUUGCCAAAAGAUGUUCCUUUUAUCAAAACACGUGUAGUCUCUUUAUUAUUAGAAGAUAAUCAUUUGUUCUGUUUUCCUCAGCCAAUCAAUUAUCUAUAUUUGGAAGAAAUCGUCAAAUUUGCUUUCUUACUUUCGAUUAGAAAUCGUCAAAAAUGUCAAUUAACUAAAUUGUUUUUCUUCUCCAGUAUAAUAAUUGAGUCAAGUCGAAUAAUAAUUUAAUUAUUUUUCUACGUCCAACUAAAUUCUCCACCGCCCAUAAUUUUCCACUCCAGUCAGUACAAUUUGUACCCAAGUCAAAUGAAUAUAUGUACAAAUGAUGGCAAUGAUCUUAGGCAGAUAUCAGUUAAUUAAUUAAUUAGCCGUUAUUGGAAUUUAUUUUUAAAAUAUUGGGUAAAUUGGUGGAAUUGAGGAGUAUUAUGGCCUUGACGUUUGCCGUCAUCCUGUGCUGGUGGUGGUGAAAGUGGGUGGGUGGGCACCGCUUGCUCGGUGAAAGAGAAAGAUACAGAAAGUAGAAACUAAACGAAAGUCAGGUGAAAGUCCUUCCUUCUCUCCAACUGCGAAAAAGUUACGAGAUGAUGAUGAUGCAGGCGGGGAUCGUCCAUGUGUAGUUCAAUAAUUUUAAAUUUAAAUUUAAUUUUUCAGAAACAUACAUUUCGAAAAGUAUAAUUGUAAUUCAUAAAAUUUUAUGACAAGUUGAAACGUCGUUUGAUUUUUUAAUUCUUGGACAUUAUUUGUAUGAGAUCGGUUGUGAGAUGAGAUGACGUCAUUAUUUUAAUAAAAUUUAUUUUAUGUGAUUGUAAAUCAUUAAA